AGAGUUUGAUCCUGGCUCAGAAUCAACGCUGGCGGCGUGCCUCAGACAUGCAAGUCGAACGCGAAAGUCCCCUUCGGGGGACAAGUAGAGUGGCGUCCGGGUGAGUAACACGUAGGUAAUCUACCUUCGGGUGGGGAAUAACGCAGGGAAACUUGCGCUAAUACCGCAUAAUGCAGCGGCACCACAUGGUGACAGUUGUUAAAGCGGGGGAUUUUCGAACCUCGCGCCUGAAGAGGAGCCUGCGGCAGAUUAGCUAGUUGGUAGGGUAACGGCUUACCAAGGCGACGAUCUGUAGCCGGCCUGAGAGGGCGGUCGGCCACACUGACACUGACAUACGGGUCAGACUCCUACGGGAGGCAGCAGUCGGGAAUUUUGGGCAAUGGGCGAAAGCCUGACCCAGCAACGCCGCGUGAAGGAUGAAAUCCCUCGGGAUGUAAACUUCGCAAGAAUAGGAAGAAUGAACGAGUACUAAUACUGCUCGUGAUGACGGUACUAUUUGUAAGCUCCGGCUAACUCCGUGCCAGCAGCCGCGGUAAUACGGGGGGAGCAAGCGUUGUUCGGAUUUACUGGGCGUAAAGGGCGCGUAGGCGGCCAGCGCAAGUCAGUUGUGAAAUCUCCGGGCUUAACUCGGAACGGUCAACUGAUACUGCGCGGCUAGAGUGCGGAAGGGGCAACUGGAAUUCUCGGUGUAGCGGUGAAAUGCGUAGAUAUCGAGAGGAACACCUGCGGCGAAGGCGGGUUGCUGGGCCGACACUGACGCUGAUGCGCGAAAGCCAGGGAGCGAACGGGAUUAGAUACCCCGGUAGUCCUGGCCUUAAACGAUGGAUGCUUGGUGUCUGGAGUUUAUAGUCCUCCGGUGCCGCAGCUAACGCGUAAGCAUUCCGCCUGGGGGAUUACCGUCCGCAAGACUGUAACUCAAAGAAUUGACUGGUACCCGCAAAGCGGUGGAGACAUGUGUUUCAAUUCAGCGCACCCGAGAACCCUACCUGGCCUAGAUGGCUGUGACACCCGAUAGAUACGCCCUCUAGGUACCUAGCCAUGCAAGGCGUCAUGCUGCUCCACCCUUGACAGAGAUUGGCUAAUCCGCAAGCGCUCCUUAU
Molecule: ribosomal RNA, 1100 nt
Filed under: uncultured bacterium
Lineage: Bacteria
Description: partial 16S ribosomal RNA
Rfam family: Bacterial small subunit ribosomal RNA
Source: RNAcentral